GUUGUCUUCCCUCUUCUCAUAGGGGCAUUCUGCCACGAAGUGACUCACGUUGCCACAGUUAUAACAUGUCCUUACUCGUUGUUUGGGUUUGAAUCAACUCGAGUUGUUCUUGUUGAAGGUGGGUCUUGAGUUCCUUUUAUUUCCCCAGAAUUGCCUUGAUGCAAGAGCCAUGUGCUCAUGAUAGGCAUACUUUGUGUCUUCCGGGCAGCUCUCCUCUUCCUCAUCUUCUUCUUCUUCUUCAAGCAUUGCUCUUGCUUUCAACGCAAGGUUGGGUGAAGUGGUUUUUGAUCGGACACGAGAAAGUGCAUUGUCGGCUGUUUCGUUCAUGAUUGACAUUGCAAUGAACUCAUCCAACACUUCACUGGAAGACAAGGAGUGGAAG
RNAcentral lists this long non-coding RNA (382 nucleotides) under Hordeum vulgare. RNAcentral describes it as "long non-coding RNA (HVUL_LNC020001)". The record is from RNAcentral. Lineage: Eukaryota; Viridiplantae; Streptophyta; Magnoliopsida; Poales; Poaceae.